RNAcentral lists this ribosomal RNA (468 nucleotides) under uncultured bacterium. RNAcentral describes it as "partial 16S ribosomal RNA". It matches the Rfam family "Bacterial small subunit ribosomal RNA", at positions 28 to 507 of the family's 1533-position model. The record is from RNAcentral.
GACGAACGCUGGCGGCGUGCUUAACACAUGCCAGUCGAACGGAAAGGCCCUGCUUUUGUGGGGUGCUCGAGUGGCGAACGGGUGAGUAACACGUGAGUAACCUGCCCUUGACUUUGGGAUAACUUCAGGAAACUGGGGCUAAUACCGGAUAGGAGCUCCUGCUGCAUGGUGGGGGUUGGAAAGUUUCGGCGGUUGGGGAUGGACUCGCGGCUUAUCAGCUUGUUGGUGGGGUAGUGGCUUACCAAGGCUUUGACGGGUAGCCGGCCUGAGAGGGUGACCGGCCACAUUGGGACUGAGAUACGGCGCAGACGCCUACGGGAGGCAGCAGUGGGGAAUAUUGCACAAUGGGCGGAAGCCUGAUGCAGCAACGCCGCGUGCGGGAUGACGGCCUUCGGGUUGUAAACCGCUUUCGCCUGUGACGAAGCGUGAGUGACGGUAAUGGGUAAAGAAGCACCGGCUAACUACGUG